UAGUUAUCCCAGCCACAACGUCGAAAUUGGCUCGUACAAAUUCAUGAAAUCAGACAUUUACUUUUUGGUCAUUAUAUAAGGUUAGCAGUGGUUAUAGUUAGGUUUGAAAUCACAGUUUACGACGGUAAUUUGUAGAAAUUGGCGUGGUUUAGAUAUCAUUAUGACAACUAGUGAAUAACUAUAUUCUUUCGAGGAACAGCAACCACCGUUCCAGAUAUGACUGGAUGGACAACUCCCAUCCCCCUGUCAAACGUCGUUAGUCACUGGCGCGUUUUUUUUAACCAGGACAAUGACCCAACACACUUCCAGGCUGUGUAAGGGCUAUUUGACCAAGAAAGAGAGUGAUGGAGUGCUGCAUCAGAUGACCUAGCCUCCACAAUCACUCGACCUUAACCCAAAUGAGAUGGUUUGGGAUGAGUUGGAGUGAAGUGAUGUGUUGGAGUGAAGGAAAAGCAGCCAACAAGUGCUCAGCAUAUGUGGAAACUCCUUCAAGACUUUUGGAAAGGCAUUCCAAGUGAAGCUGGUUGAGAGAAUGCUAAGAGUGUGCAAAGCUGUCAUCAAGGGUGGCUACUUUGAAGAAUCUAAAAU
This is a long non-coding RNA of Oncorhynchus tshawytscha (Chinook salmon), 588 nucleotides long. NCBI's taxonomy places the organism in Eukaryota, Metazoa, Chordata, Actinopteri, Salmoniformes, Salmonidae. The record is from Ensembl.